Molecule: long non-coding RNA, 878 nt
Organism: Gavialis gangeticus (Gharial)
Lineage: Eukaryota; Metazoa; Chordata; Crocodylia; Gavialidae
Exons: 3
Source: RefSeq, a predicted model, not a curated record
GGAAAUCAUGUGGUCCUCCAAGGGAACUACCCAAUGGCAGAGCUGUUGUUAAAACAGAUUAUUUGUUUGGUGCAAAAGUAAACCCCUUCUGCAAGGAUGGGUAUGAAUAUUAGUUGGGCAGUCGUUUAUCGACUGCACGUUAAAGGGAGACGAAGUUGAGUGGAGCGAACUUCCAGUUUGCCAAUUGAAAAGUGCACGUGUUGGAAAUGGGUCAAAGGCAAAACUAAAUUCAGGUAACUUGUAUUCCUUAAAGUUCUGGUUUGUAGGAUCUCGUUUCUACAACAUCGCACUCAAUAUUUGUUGUUCCCAGGAUCUAAUUUCUGUAAUAAAGCCACUUGUAUUUGCUCAUGUGGCAGUACUGUACCAUAAUUUCAGGGGAGAACUUGUUUGACCAUCUGCCUCUCAGUCCCAAGCACUAGCCAGCAUUGCACUAGCUUCCCUCUGCUAGUACAAUAGCUUUGUGAGCAGCAUGUUCUGAGAUGAAUGUUGGAUGAAGAGUUGAGGAUGGGGUUAACUGCUCCUAGCCACGGUCUGUAAGAUGUUGAGAGCAUAAGGAAAUGGGUGCAGACCUGUGAAAGCUCUGGAAGGGUACAGACAGGAGAGGCAAGAACAGAGAAGGACUUCACUGAUGGACACGUCCUGGACUGGAGACAGUUGGAUCCAGUGAAGCCAAUAGAGCUAGGAUAGUUUCACAUAUGCUGAGAACAUGUCCCUGCUGUGGAAAGCAUUAGAGAAGAAUGGCAUACGAGACAUUUCAACGUGCCUUCCGCAUUUUAUAGGCAGUCAAAAAUAAUGAGUUGUCAUAGGAAGAUUCCUUUACACAAAGAUCCUGAAUUCCCUCUUGAAGAUGUAUCAUGCCUGUAAGUGUUGUACGGGUA